This 253-nucleotide ribosomal RNA is filed under the name uncultured bacterium. RNAcentral's name for it is "partial 16S ribosomal RNA". It matches the Rfam family "Bacterial small subunit ribosomal RNA", at positions 524 to 776 of the family's 1533-position model. The record is from RNAcentral.
UACGAAGGGGGCUAGCGUUGCUCGGAAUCACUGGGCGUAAAGGGUGCGUAGGCGGGUCUUUAAGUCAGGGGUGAAAUCCUGGAGCUCAACUCCAGAACUGCCUUUGAUACUGAGGAUCUUGAGUUCGGGAGAGGUGAGUGGAACUGCGAGUGUAGAGGUGAAAUUCGUAGAUAUUCGCAAGAACACCAGUGGCGAAGGCGGCUCACUGGCCCGAUACUGACGCUGAGGCACGACAGCGUGGGGAGCAAACAGG